This 474-nucleotide ribosomal RNA is filed under the name uncultured Microgenomates group bacterium. RNAcentral describes it as "bacterial SSU rRNA". It matches the Rfam family "Bacterial small subunit ribosomal RNA", at positions 897 to 1382 of the family's 1533-position model. The record is from RNAcentral.
AAACUUAAAUGAAUUGACGGGAGGCGCACAACCAGUGGAGCAUGUGGUUCAAUUCGAUACGAAGCGAUGAACCUUACCCGGGUUUGAAAUGUACCUGCACGGCCCCCAGAAACGGGGCAAGCCUUAGAGGGUGGUACACAGCUGUUGCAUGGCUGUCGUCAGCUCGUGACGUGAGUUGUUCUCUUAAGUGAGGUAACGAGCGCAACCCCCAUUCUGUGUUACUAUGUCACAGAAGACUGCCCAGCAUUAUUUUGUUGGGAGGAAGGAGGGGACGACGUCAAGUCAUCAUGAUGCUUAUAUCCGGGGCUACACACAUCCUACAAUGGGUGGUACAGAGGGUCGCAAUACCGCGAGGUGGAGCUAAUCCUUAAAACCUCCCUCAGUUGGGAUUGCAGGCUGAAACUCGCCUGCAUGAACUUGGAAUUGGUAGUAAUCGCAAAUCAGCAGAUUGCGGUGAAUACGUUCUCGCCUCUU